Molecule: transfer RNA, 68 nt
Filed under: Lingula anatina
Lineage: Eukaryota; Metazoa; Brachiopoda; Lingulata; Lingulida; Lingulidae
Description: tRNA-Ser
Source: RNAcentral
GACCCUAUACCUACGGAGGGGCAGUGUUUUGAAAACUUUGCUACGGUGUUCGACUCACCGUGGGGUCU